GGAGAAAUGGCAGAGUGGUCGAUUGCGGCGGUCUUGAAAACCGUUGUCCGGGCGACUGGACCGGGGGUUCGAAUCCCUCUUUCUCCGCAA
RNAcentral lists this transfer RNA (90 nucleotides) under Bacteroidales bacterium. RNAcentral's name for it is "tRNA-Ser". It matches the Rfam family "tRNA". From Rfam's summary of the family: Transfer RNA (tRNA) molecules are approximately 80 nucleotides in length. Lineage: Bacteria; Pseudomonadati; Bacteroidota; Bacteroidia; Bacteroidales. The record is from RNAcentral.